GGUUCCCACAGCCUGGCCGUUCGUUUUUAUCAAUCCCCACAGGAUGCACUCCUACUCUCUCUUCCAGGGUCCCCUGCUUCCUGUCCGCGUUCCCACAGCUGCUGAGGGCCACAGCUCCCGCCUGUGCACAGAGGGUCCUUGCUGUGUGUACGAGAUGGUGGCUCCCUGCGCCAUGUGGCAGAUGUUCAGCAUCAGGAAUCAAAACAGCUUUCACACCACGCAGCACAUUCUUCUUCCAGUCCCGUUCAUUUCCUCUCGGUGGGAUGUGGAACAAUUUCUCUCAUCUGUUGCUCACUCAGUGAAACUGAGAAGUGGACAGAGGAGGCCAGAGACCGCAUGGAGCUUCCUGAGUCUUGACAUUCCAAGAAUACCCUCAACUGGUCCUCUCCUUUUUUCGAAAAACGUGACAAGCCUGUAAGACUAAGGGAAAGAGUAAAGCAGUUUCUGUUCAUUGUACGCUGGACAAAUUCCGAGUGGAUUCUGCAAUACUGAAUUAGCAUAGAGGACUUUCUGGAGGGAGAGAAGUGGACACUGUUCUUGACAGCUAUACUCAAUAUAUACUCACUACUUGGAAAAAACCAGGAAAGCAAAUGCACACUGGCAGCUUCUCACUAUGGACCAAUCAAAUGUUUCCCAUUUGAGUCUCGCAGUACUGUGAAAAGUUCCCUUUGGAUGUCUUCCUGCCAGAGGAUGGUUUGACUCCCUCCGCCAGUGCAGGCAAGAGGAGAGGAAGGAGCUACAGACAUUCAGUGGAAGAAGACUUAAGUCCCACGGUGAGCCAGUGACUUAUCAGUUCAUACUCGCUGGAGUCAGAGGUCAGAAGAACAUAAGCCAACAACCCCUGGUUAUUCUCUGAAAUCUCCAUGAUGGCACUGGCUCUGCACAGGGCAGAGUUAGGAUACAAACCAGUGUGGUGUAGAUGUAUGGGUAGUGACUCUGGUUUACCUCCAGAUACAUUCUUGGGCACCCUAGUUGUCUUUUAUCAGAAAAGCCACAACUGACUCUAAGGCCAGCAUAAGAACAAAAGACAGAAGAAAACAUGGAGUCAGAAACUUGAAGUUACUGCGGGGAGGAAUAUCAGACAUUGAGGUUUCACUAACUGCCAAGCCAUGGGAUGUAACAUCGAAGAAAAUCUAAAAGUGUGUCAUGCCAGCUUGCCCUUCAACUGGAGCUCUGUGAGGCUGGAGCCACAACUGUAUUUCCGGGUAUAUCCCCACUCCUUGUGCUGGUGUGUGGGCACCUUCCCACCCAUCCCAGAAAGGAAGGCGAGGGGACUGAUGCAAUUCGUGGACUGAUCUUCCUAACAACACAAGUCAGCUUCAUGUUGAGCAUUCCUGGAGAACAAAAGUGUUUUUGCUGCCAAGAUGUCAGGUUCUUUUUAGAGAGCUAAAAAUUAUACACAUCAGAAUUUCUAAAAUAAACGCUGAAUCUGAACCUUCCAGGCAGUGUUCUUGUUUUUCUCCCUGAGCUAUCAAAGAACAAAUUUGUUCCUUCCUUUAUUAAUAAGUUUGUUGGAAAUCUGUUGUGCCAGCCCAUGACUAUUUUCCAGGAAAGCAGAUUAAUGCUAGAUUAUGAAAAUAAAUGAUAACAUAUUUACUGUGAGAACUAAUGAUAUCCUGAGUGCUAAGACAGUACACACUGCUUCUUCCAAGACUGGCAGGUAUGUUUCUGAAGUUGACUUCACUUCAGCGGAAGACACUCUGAGCUUACGUGACUGUGGGCUGCCCAACAUUGCAAAGAUACCAGCCUUGGCAGCAGCGUAUUUAGUACAACUCCAGUUGUGGAAACACUACUGUCACAUUAAAGAAAGGAUUCUUCCUGCCGUGUUGACAAGGAGUAGUGGAAUGGCAAGGCACCAGAAACUGUGGAGACCCAUACUCUUGUCUCAUUUCUGUCUUGCCUGCCUGUAGCCAGGUGGUGCUUUGAAGCCAUCCCAGCUUGUUUAUGAAUAACUCUAUGCUACUGGCCUUUGCUUAAAGUCUGCCUUAAGGACUUUUUCU
Heterocephalus glaber (naked mole-rat) is the source of this 2000-nucleotide long non-coding RNA. The record is from Ensembl. NCBI's taxonomy places the organism in Eukaryota, Metazoa, Chordata, Mammalia, Rodentia, Bathyergidae.